GAUGAACGCUAGCGGCAGGCUUAACACAUGCAAGUCGAGGGGUAUAUGUCUUCGGAUAUAGAGACCGGCGCACGGGUGCGUAACGCGUAUGCAAUCUACCUUUUACAGAGGGAUAGCCCAGAGAAAUUUUGGAUUAAUACCUCAUAGCAUAGCAGCUUCGCAUGAAGCAGCUAUUAAAGUCACAACGGUAAAAGAUGAGCAUGCGUCCCAUUAGCUAGUUGGUAAGGUAACGGCUUACCAAGGCUACGAUGGGUAGGGGUCCUGAGAGGGAGAUCCCCCACACUGGUACUGAGACACGGACCAGACUCCUACGGGAGCAGCAGUGAGGAAUAUUGGACAAUGGGCGCAAGCCU
This 353-nucleotide ribosomal RNA is filed under the name uncultured bacterium. RNAcentral describes it as "bacterial SSU rRNA". It matches the Rfam family "Bacterial small subunit ribosomal RNA", at positions 28 to 384 of the family's 1533-position model. The record is from RNAcentral.